This 72-nucleotide transfer RNA is filed under the name Trichonephila clavata. It matches the Rfam family "tRNA". Rfam says of the family: Transfer RNA (tRNA) molecules are approximately 80 nucleotides in length. Lineage: Eukaryota; Metazoa; Arthropoda; Arachnida; Araneae; Nephilidae. The record is from Rfam by way of RNAcentral.
GUCCGUGAAGCGCAAUGGAUACCGCGUUGGACUUCUAAUCCAAAGGUCGUGGGUUCGAAUCCUACUUGGAUG